Molecule: unclassified non-coding RNA, 350 nt
Filed under: soil metagenome
Description: partial contains 5.8S ribosomal RNA, internal transcribed spacer 2, and large subunit ribosomal RNA
Rfam family: 5.8S ribosomal RNA (bases 1-120)
Source: RNAcentral
GAUGAAGAACGCAGCGAAAUGCGAUAAGUAAUGUGAAUUGCAGAAUUCAGUGAAUCAUCGAAUCUUUGAACGCACAUUGCGCCCGCCAGUAUUCUGGCGGGCAUGCCUGUUCGAGCGUCAUUUCAACCCUCAAGCCCAGCUUGGUGUUGGGAAUCGGCACAGGCGCCCUCGGGCGCCCGCCGUCCCCUAAAUCUAGUGGCGGUCCCGCUGCAGCCUCCUCUGCGUAGUAGUUUUCUCCUCGCAAGGGCAGCUCGGUGGCGACCUCGCCGUAAAACCCCCAACUUCUGAAAGGUUGACCUCGAAUCAGGUAGGAAUACCCGCUGAACUUAAGCAUAUCAAUAAGCGGAGGA